Molecule: ribosomal RNA, 453 nt
Filed under: uncultured Oomycota
Lineage: Eukaryota; Oomycota
Description: LSU rRNA
Rfam family: Eukaryotic large subunit ribosomal RNA
Source: RNAcentral
GUGCGAGACCGAUAGCGAACAAGUACCGUGAGGAAAAGAUGAAAAGAACUUUGAAAAGAGAGUUAAAGAGUACCUGAAACUGCUGAAAGGGAACCGAAUCGUAUCCAGUGUCUAUAAUCCAUGGCAUAUUUCAUUGGCGAGUGAGUGCGUGCAGCGUUUUGGAAGUGGUUUUCCGCUCCUGUCGUUGUUGUGCAUUUGCUUGCUGGUGCCCUGUGCUGUGGUGGGACGUCAGAGUCAGUUUGUGUGUCGCGGGAAAUGGUUGUUGGGGAGGUAGGUCGCUUCGGUGGCUAUUAUAUCCUGGUAACUAGUCGUCGUGGCUGAGACUGAGGUGCCUACAAUGUGCUUUCGAGUGUGCGGGUUUCUCGUGUGGCUGUUUGCUUCGAUAGCUUGCUAUGUUGGUGAAUAAGUUGUGCGAUUGAGACCUGUAUUAACUUGUUGCUGUUCGGGACUUUG